GACGAACGCUGGCGGCGUGCUUAACACAUGCAAGUCGUACGGUAAGGCCCUUUCGGGGGUACACGAGUGGCGAACGGGUGAGUAACACGUGAGUAACCUGCCCACAACUUUGGGAUAACGCUAGGAAACUGGUGCUAAUACUGGAUAUGUGCUCCUGCUGCAUGGUGGGGGUUGGAAAGCUCAGGCGGUUGUGGAUGGACUCGCGGCCUAUCAGCUUGUUGGUGGGGUAGUGGCCUACCAAGGCGGCGACGGGUAGCCGGCCUGAGAGGGUGACCGGCCACAUUGGGACUGAGAUACGGCCCAGACUCCUACGGGAGGCAGCAGUGGGGAAUAUUGCACAAUGGGCGCAAGCCUGAUGCAGCAACGCCGCGUGCGGGAUGACGGCCUUCGGGUUGUAAACCGCGUUCAGCAGGGACGAAGCUUUUUGUGACGGUACCUGCAGAAGAAGCACCGGCUAACUACGUG
This 465-nucleotide ribosomal RNA is filed under the name uncultured bacterium. Its description in RNAcentral is "partial 16S ribosomal RNA". It matches the Rfam family "Bacterial small subunit ribosomal RNA", at positions 28 to 507 of the family's 1533-position model. The record is from RNAcentral.